CUUCACUUGUCUGUGCCUCAGUUCUGCCAUCUGUAGAACAGGGGUGUUGCCGGUACAUACACUGUUGGGUUGUGAGGAUCCAUGGCAUUGUGUGCCUGGAACUCUGAGUUCUCUAUGUCACAGAGAACCGUGGGAACAAAGUGGAGGCUGGGGCUGCUUCCUGCCCACUGUGCACAGAGCCCACGGGGGAGGGCUGGCUGCGGUUUCUUCCCUGGGAAUGGCCUGUUCCACCAAGGACGGGCGAGUUGAUGUUCCGUGCACGUCCUCCUCAUCUUCUGUCAACUCAUGUACGCUCGUGAUGCUGUCCAAGGUGGGAACUGGAGCCACAAUGGACCUUCUCCUAUUUCAGACGUGGUCCACAGUUCCAGCCAACAGUCUCCCUCAAACUGUGAAAACCGGGCCUCACAAGCCCCUGGGCAUCGCUCAGCCAGGACCAGCAGCCCACCGCCCCUCGGAGAUUAAGAACCUGGGCCCAUCUGCAUGAUUCCUCCUCUGGCCGGUCGUCGGGGGGAUGGACCUGAAGAGUAUCCGAGACCUGCCACAGCCUGGACUGGAACUUAGGGGCCCAGCACCCAACUGCUGUCUCACCGCCUCCACCCCCAGGCCCGCCUAGAGCACAUGACAGCACAGGGUUUCUGUUCAGUGGAAUAAACGUGCUCCUCUUGGAAGCUAA
This is a long non-coding RNA of Equus caballus (horse), 673 nucleotides long. RefSeq lists it as uncharacterized. NCBI's taxonomy places the organism in Eukaryota, Metazoa, Chordata, Mammalia, Perissodactyla, Equidae. The record is from RefSeq and is a predicted model, not a curated record.